CUAUGACAUAGGUCAUGGCGGAAGGAG
Molecule: non-coding RNA, 27 nt
Filed under: unclassified sequences
Source: RNAcentral